UGUUUGGUUUCUUGUUUCGGUCUUGAGACAACAGUUACUCACGACUUUAAAAAUGACAAGCAAGAUUAUGAUUGAUUGAAGUCUGUAAGUCUUGUUUAUGUUCAAAGAUUGGAUAAUUGAAUCUGAUUGUCUAUAUAAUGCUGUCUGGGCAGCAUAACUUCAAGUCUCUGCAUAGAAUUGCCUUCAUUAAGGCUUUUCUAAUGAUGUCGUAAGAACGAGAAAUUCAAUGAUAUGCUUAUAAGACUUGUCUAAUGAUGUCUGAAUGGGGAAUUCUCUUGCAAGGAUGGAGGAAUAAGCAAGCAAGCUGUGAUUAACACUGUAACACUUGUCACAGUUCUAUAUAUUGCUAGGUGGGCAGCAUAACUUCAAGUUUCUGCAUGGAUUUGCCUUUAUUUUAAGGCUUUUCUAAAACUCAAUGAUCUGCAAAUUGAUGGAGAGUAAAUUCCAUGUUCUACUAUAGAACUCAAUGAUCUGCUUAUUGAUGGAGAAUAAAUGUUCUUUUAUAGAACUCAAUGAUCUGCUUAUUAAUAGAGAUAAAGUAUCUUUUAUAAGACUUGUCUAAUGAUAACUGAUUGGAAAAUGCAUUAAAACAUGUAGUUAAUCCUCUUUGCAUAGCUCUUGAAACUCUUCCUGUUAGCGAAGGCACAUCAUUGUGCAACGCUUGAUGGGUCGAGGCUCGAGCAAGGCGAGAAAGGGAGAGAGAGAUAAGGCACCAAAGGUAAGUCAUCACGAAUCUCACUGAGAUAUGAUAUUCAGUGGGACAUUUUGUUCUAACUUACAAUAUUCUGCAUUAAAAAGUCCAACGUGCAGACUGUAUCUUUCCCUCUUUUAAUCAGGUAAGUGUCUCUUUCGCCUUCCAAAACAAGGUAUGAUUUUCGUAAUAUUUUUCCUUGAUGGAGUUUUUAGUUCGUUAAUUGAUUACAACCUUAGAUCACAUAGUCUUUUAUAACUAUUUAUCUGUUUUUUUAGUUUCACAAGACCAAGAAAAUGGAGUAAGUGUACGUGAUCUUUCUCAGGAACCGUAAAGAAGGCAUUGUGUACAUGCGUAAGAUAGGCAUGAUUGGAGCUUUUGGGGUGUGCGUCGUCUUCAACACUCCUAUUUCCAAGUAAGUAGAUUCCGAAGUUUACUUAAUACAUUUACGCUUACGCAUGAAUAUUUUUAGAUAUUUUAGUAUUGUUGGCAUAUUUCUCCUUUGGCUGCAAAUUUAAUAUUUCCAUGUGUGUUUUUUUAGGUGGAUUAAUUUUUCCUUUAGAACCAAACCUCAAUUAAGCACCCACGUCUGUAGAGCACACUGAUACAAAUAUACGCAUAACACGAAUGCAUACACUAAACGUAAACAUACACACAAACGUAACUUUUGUGCUCACACUAAUACAAACAUAAAUACAUGACACGAACACAUACUCUAAAUGCAAUUGCUUAUAUUGUAUGAUGAAUGAGUGCUAAACAGAAGUUUAUGAAACUACUUACUAAGGUUUAUAGUUUAUAUAAGAGGCUUAUCAAUGAACUGUUAGAGAAGUUCAUUUCGUUUGAGGAGCGUUACAACACUCAGCUUGCAGCCCUUACCGCAAGUUGCUCCAAAAUCACGUCAGCUCAUAAUACUUAUGCUGACCGAGUCGACACUUUUACUCCAAGGACUUUGCGAACCUCAAGAUCAAGAGGGCGUUUAGAGUUUUUACGACCCUAUCCACCCGACCCUCUGAGUUUCUCAAACUACGUACUGCAAGGCCUCAGCUCCCAAAGUGUAACCGGAGGAAGUUCUCAGCAACCACCAACUGCUCAAAUACCUACCACUUCUGUAGGCUUCAAUGCUUCUAUAACCCAUUAUAGCAAACACUAAUAGAUAACUUUGAAGAAAAUCAAUAUGAUCCCAAAAGAACAAACUAUCCUGGUUUUUCUAUUCUUCAAUCCUAAUUUCCCAAGUUCAACACCAUUUUAGAUCACAUUGUUCACAUCAUAAAUAACUUUGAAAGAAACCAACAAGUUACAUUCUAAACAUUUCGUCCUUUGAAAACUCUUAAAAACACAUUAUUAAUUAAGCAUCAAAGAUUAAUCAUACAGUCACUUUACCUCACAAUUUUAGCAACAAACUCAUCAAUAUUCUUAUCAGAAUUUCCUCCAUCAGACAAAGCUUCCCUUGCAAACUCCAUCAACCUCCGAGCAUUUUUUCUAAUCUCCUUCCCUUUCUCCGACAUAUCUUCCAUAACUUCUCCAACACAUCUCACAAUCUCUUCCUUCGGAACAAACCCAUUUUGAUCUGCCUUAACCCUAACCCCAACCUUCCACACAUCUUCAAUAAACUUAGCAUUAGUCGGCUGGUCGCUAUAAGCCGGCAUUCCUAUCAAAGCAACUCCUAAGCUCAAUGCCUCUAAAGUCGAAUUCCACCCGCAAUGAGUCAUGAAACAACCGAUUGAUUUAUGUGCAAGAACUUGUAAUUGAGGACUCCAAUUCACUAUCAAUCCCUUGUCACAAAUGUCCUCUAUGUAAUUGCUUGGAAGCUUCUUUGUUUCAGUUUCUCUAACAACCCAUAAGAAGUUAUGGCCAGUUUGUUUUAGACCAGCCGCGACUUCUAUCAUUUGAUCGUCUUUUAAGACGGCCAAGCUUCCAAAAGACACGUAGAUCACUGAACCGGGCGGUUUUGAGUCAAGCCAAUCAAGGCAUUCGUUGACUUGGGCAUUGAAGAGGUUGAUUCCGUAGUCUUUGUCACCUGCUAAUCGUUUGUCUAAGUACAUUGAUGGAAUCAUCGGUCCUAUGUUCUUGACCGGCCAUUGGUUUUUCAUCCAUUGUAGCACCUGAAAAAAGGAUUAAUACACGCAUUAAAGAAACGUUGAUAGGUUGAUUGUAUAUAAGAUCAGUUUCAAAAUCAAUCAAAUCAAUUUCAUGCAUGCUUUUAUGUACUUCAUUAAUUACAAUCAUAACAUUUAUUGCAUCUAUAAUAAUUGGUUGUCACCAGUAUAUGACCCACGUCAACUAUUUUCUUCCUAAAACAAGGAAACCUGUUUCAUUUUGAAAUUGAUAGAUAAGCUGAAACCCAUAAGGCCAUACCCCAAAAAGACACUUUGACAUGUAAAUGUGUCAAUCAACCGUCCCGAGUCUCCCGACCUAUCGUGAAAGCUUUCGGACUAAAAUUCCUAGUUUGAACCAAACAUGACCACGUUUUCUAAUAUCAGGAUUUCAGGCUUAGAAAGGACUUCAAGAACAUUAGAUGAAUAGGGACCAGUGGAAGUAAUAAAGACACAAUAAAAAAGGUAUCAUUCCCUUUAAUACACGCAUUAAAGCAAUUUAGCAAGUAUUUUUAAAAACAAAUGUCACAUUUAUACAGUAAUUUGCGAAAAUGCAAACAUCGUUAAGAAAAAUAUGAAAUAAACUAAUGAAUUAAACCAAAAGAAUAAAGGAUAAAACUAAACUAAUGAAACUAGAAUUAAAAAAUAAAUCAAAUUGUUGUGCAAAAUCUCAAUUUGGUCAGGGACACAUCCCCACAUGCCUAGCCAGUAUGUAUGCUUUCAAUGGAAAGGUAAACGGCGUGACACGUAUGUAUAUUUGAGACGAUAUUCGUUUUCUGGCUACAUAUUUGCCACGUUAAAUUAAGACCCCAACCAAUUGCAUAAGAUAUAUUAUAAGUAAUCUGCACCUUGGGAUUUUCGCCCCAAUCGAUAUAUCUAUAUCUUUCGGCCCCAAGAUGAAUGAUGUUCUUUUUGUCCGUUGAAAUAAUGAUGUGUUUUCUAUCUAAUAUCUUUUUGCUAUUAUUAUGUACCAACAUCGAAUUAAAAAAAUUUCACCACGAACCUAGAAAGCUACAAGUCUAGCUACAACUAUAUUGGAAUAAGGACUUAUUUCACAUCAUAUACUAAUUGGUUCAGUAAGAUAGUAGUAUAUAUCAUCCACAAUUAUAUCACCUCCAAAUAUUUUUAUUUGGAUUGCAUUUUGCAGAUAAUUAAGAAAAAUACAAUAAACAACAAAACUCUAAAGUUGAGAAUUACCUCGACUUCGAGUUCGUCGAAAGAGUUAACCAAGAAGAAGUCAAUGUCGUCAACAUUCACGAACUGGCUACUAAUGAGCUCAAACAACGGCCGGCAGAGAUUGUUAUCGUACAGAAACACCGGUAAGUCAUUACCCUUCAGCGGAGGCAUUGCAGGCAAAACGACAUCAUUUUGAAACUCCUUAAACUCUCCACGCAAGAAAUGAAUAUAGGUCGCGUUCACGGUGGAGGACUGAGUGAAAAACGACGCCGCAGCAACGCCAGGAUGUUUCCGGCAAACGUCGAGGACAUAAGGCAGGCACGAGUCGUAAACGACGGCGUUUGGUUUUGGGUCCAUCGAGGAGAUAAGCUCUGAGAGGCUUCGAGAUACGUUUUCUUGGAACUUUGCGAAGUAGUCGGGAGAUGUGUCCGUAGAUGGGUGAUCUUCCUCGAAUCCAUCGUCAAUGGGGACAAAAGAGAGAGGAAGAGCAGUGGCUCCGCCGGUGAUGGCACGGCGGAGGAUGGAGUUGUGGGUGGAGGAAGUGGUGAGGAAUGUGACGUUGACGUUUUUAGAGAGUAGGCGUUUUGAGAAUUGGAGGAGAGGGUUUAUGUGACCUUGUAUCGGAAAUGAGAAGACUAACACAUUUGCUUUCGCUUUCUCUCCCAUUGUUUUUCUCUUCUUUUUGUUGAAAUUUGUUACAUACAAACUCUUACUCUGUUAUGACGGAAGUAUUUAUCGGAUAUAUGCAAGUAUGCAACGUAGAAAAUAGUAGUUAUAGGCAACUUUAAUAUAAAAGAUUUGUUUCUAUAUGUCUCUUUACCAAAUAGAAAAGUUAAAA
Long non-coding RNA from Arabidopsis thaliana (thale cress), 4798 nucleotides. RefSeq lists it with no specific name. The record is from RefSeq. The transcript has 3 exons. NCBI's taxonomy places the organism in Eukaryota, Viridiplantae, Streptophyta, Magnoliopsida, Brassicales, Brassicaceae.